AUUUUCUUCUCUUCCUUCCCUCUUUCCAUUUCUCCAACCAAAAUCAAGAAAUUUGGCCAUCCAACCCUCCAAAAACCUUAGAACCCGAAGCUAAAUUGGGGCUUUUUGUGAUUUCUUCUUUCCAAGUUCAAAUCAAGAGGCUAGGCUAUGGGUUUGGCAAGGAUUUGUGGUGAAGAAGGCCAAUGAGGAGGAUUAGGCCAUGAGUUUUGAAGAAGAAAGGGAAACACGAUCGUUAAGGAAGCUUAAGCGGAAAGCACCAGAGUGUGGAAUACGCCGGCAUUUCCAGUGAAUGGGACCUAGACGCGUAGAUUCCUAGGGAUCCCACGGUGUCGAUAACCGUGAACCUCCGGAGGGGGCCGUGCUCCUAUGUUUGUCGA
Rosa rugosa (rugosa rose) is the source of this 377-nucleotide long non-coding RNA. RefSeq lists it as uncharacterized. Lineage: Eukaryota; Viridiplantae; Streptophyta; Magnoliopsida; Rosales; Rosaceae. The record is from RefSeq and is a predicted model, not a curated record. The transcript has 5 exons.